This 253-nucleotide ribosomal RNA is filed under the name uncultured bacterium. RNAcentral describes it as "partial 16S ribosomal RNA". It matches the Rfam family "Bacterial small subunit ribosomal RNA", at positions 524 to 776 of the family's 1533-position model. The record is from RNAcentral.
GACAGAGGGUGCAACCGUUGUUCGGAAUUAUUGGGCGUAAAGAGCGUGUAGGCGGCCUGAAAGGUCAGCUGUGAAAACUCGAGGCUCAACCUCGAGACGUCGGUUGAAACCAUCUGGCUAGAGUCCGGAAGAGGAGUGUGGAAUUCCCGGUGUAGCGGUGAAAUGCGCAGAUAUCGGGAAGAACACCCGUGGCGAAGGCGGCACUCUGGGACGGUACUGACGCUGAGACGCGAAAGCGUGGGGAGCGAACAGG